RNAcentral lists this ribosomal RNA (253 nucleotides) under uncultured bacterium. RNAcentral describes it as "partial 16S ribosomal RNA". It matches the Rfam family "Bacterial small subunit ribosomal RNA", at positions 524 to 776 of the family's 1533-position model. The record is from RNAcentral.
UACAGAGGGGGCAAGCGUUGUUCGGAAUUACUGGGCGUAAAGGGCGCGUAGGCGGCCUUCUAAGUCGAACGUGAAAGCCCCGGGCUCAACCUGGGAAUGGCAUUUGGGACUGCAAGGCUGGAGUUUGGCAGAGGAGACUGGAAUUCCUGGUGUAGCAGUGAAAUGCGUAGAUAUCAGGAGGAAUACCGAUGGCGAAGGCAGGUCUCUGGGCUAUAACUGACGCUCAUGCACGAAAGCGUGGGGAGCAAACAGG